This 250-nucleotide ribosomal RNA is filed under the name uncultured bacterium. RNAcentral describes it as "partial 16S ribosomal RNA". It matches the Rfam family "Bacterial small subunit ribosomal RNA", at positions 524 to 773 of the family's 1533-position model. The record is from RNAcentral.
GACAGAGGGUGCAAGCGUUAAUCGGAAUUACUGGGCGUAAAGCGUGCGUAGGCGGUUGUUUAAGUCAGAUGUGAAAGCCCCGGGCUUAACCUGGGGACGGCAUUUGAUACUGGGCAACUCGAGUGUGGUAGAGGAGAGCGGAAUUUCCGGUGUAGCGGUGAAAUGCGUAGAUAUCGGAAGGAACACCAGUGGCGAAGGCGGCCACCUGGACGGUAACUGACGCUGAGACGCGAAAGCGUGGGGAGCAAAC